GUUUGAUCCUGGCUCAGAAUCAACGCUGGCGGCGUGCCUAACACAUGCAAGUCGAACGAGAAAGUGGAGCAAUCCAUGAGUACAGUGGCGUACGGGUGAGUAACACGUGACUAACCUACCCUCGAGUGGGGAAUAACCUCGGGAAACCGGGGCUAAUACCGCAUAACAUCUUCGGAUCAAAUGCGUAAGCAGCUUGAGGAGGGGGUCGCGGCCGAUUAGCUAGUUGGCGGGGUAAUGGCCCACCAAGGCAAUGAUCGGUAGCCGGCCUGAGAGGGCGCACGGCCACACUGGAACUGAAACACGGUCCAGACUCCUACGGGAGGCAGCGGUGGGGAAUUUUGCGCAAUGGGGGAAACCCUGACGCAGCAACGCCGCGUGGAGGAUGAAGCCCCUUGGGGUGUAAA
RNAcentral lists this ribosomal RNA (404 nucleotides) under uncultured bacterium. RNAcentral's name for it is "bacterial SSU rRNA". It matches the Rfam family "Bacterial small subunit ribosomal RNA", at positions 11 to 429 of the family's 1533-position model. The record is from RNAcentral.